UUAGGAAGGGGAUCACAAUUGGAUUGGUUUGUAAACCCAUAUCGCCUCCAGUUGAACGUUUUUUUCGCUAAAGAGAACUUGCGGCCGACAGCUUCGUCGUAAGGUAACGGCCACCAAGGCGACGAUCAGUAUUCGGUCCAGAGGACGAUCAGACACACUCGGAACUCGAAAACGGUCCAGACUCCUACGGGAGGCAGCAGUGGGGAACCCUCCGCAAUGGGCGAAAGCCUGACGGAGCAAUACCGCGUGAGGGAUGAGGGCCUAUGGGUUCGUAAACCUCCUUUUUCAGGGAGGAACAAAAUGACGUGUACCUGAAGAAUAAGCAUCGGCUAACUCCGUGCCAGCAGCCGCGGUAAGACGGAGGAUGCAAGUGUUAUCCGGAAUCACUUGGGCGUAAAGGUCUUGUAGGUGGUCAAAUAAGUCAACUUGUUUAAAUUCUUUGAGGCUUCAACCUUCAAAAUCGCAGUCGAAACUUAUUUAGACUAGAGUAUAGUAGGGGUAAAAGGGAAUUUUCCAGUGGAGCGGUGAAAUGCGUAGAGAUUUGGAAAGAACACCGAUGGCGAAGGCACUUUUACUGGGCUAUUACUAACACUCAGAGACGAAAGCUAGGGUAGCAAAUGGGAUUAGAUACCCCAGUAGUCCUAGCUGUAAACAAUG
RNAcentral lists this ribosomal RNA (657 nucleotides) under uncultured bacterium. RNAcentral's name for it is "bacterial SSU rRNA". It matches the Rfam family "Bacterial small subunit ribosomal RNA", at positions 132 to 811 of the family's 1533-position model. The record is from RNAcentral.